Long non-coding RNA from Homo sapiens (human), 372 nucleotides. Lineage: Eukaryota; Metazoa; Chordata; Mammalia; Primates; Hominidae. The record is from Ensembl.
UGAGGAAAUAUGAGAGCCCCAGGAACUGAAAAGGCCUGUGAGAGACUCUGAGCUUCCUGGGAACAGGAUGAUAGUUAAAAAAAAAAAUGUUGGCCAGGCGCAGUGAUGGAUGCAUAUGAUCCCAGCACUUUGGGAGGCCGAGGUGGGCAGAUUGCUUGAGUUCAGGAGUUCAAGACCAGCCUGGCAACAUGGUGAAAUCCUGUGUCUACAAAAAAUGCAAAAAUUAGCUGGACAUGAUGGCAUGUGCCUUUGGUUCCAGCUACUUAGGAGGCUGAGGUAGGAGGAUGGCUUGAGCCCAGGAGGCGGAGGUUGCAGUGAGCCAAAAUCGUGCCACCGCACUCUAGCCUGGGCAACAGAGCCAGACCAUAUCUC